This 117-nucleotide transfer RNA is filed under the name Ostreococcus lucimarinus CCE9901. It matches the Rfam family "tRNA". Rfam says of the family: Transfer RNA (tRNA) molecules are approximately 80 nucleotides in length. Their secondary structure includes four short double-helical elements and three loops (D, anti-codon, and T loops). Further hydrogen bonds mediate the characteristic L-shaped molecular structure. tRNAs have two regions of fundamental functional importance: the anti-codon, which is responsible for specific mRNA codon recognition, and the 3' end, to which the tRNAs corresponding amino acid is attached (by aminoacyl-tRNA synthetases). tRNAs cope with the degeneracy of the genetic code in two manners: having more than one tRNA (with a specific anti-codon) for a particular amino acid; and 'wobble' base-pairing, i.e. permitting non-standard base-pairing at the 3rd anti-codon position. The record is from Rfam by way of RNAcentral. Lineage: Eukaryota; Viridiplantae; Chlorophyta; Mamiellophyceae; Mamiellales; Bathycoccaceae.
GCUGGGAUGCCCGAGUGGUCUAAGGGGCCAGACUCAAGUGCGAAUAAGCUUCACCGAAAAAACUGGUGAGAUUUCUGGUAGUCAUUGACUGCGUGGGUUCGAACCCCACUCUCAGUA